GACGAACGCUAGCGGCGUGCUUAACACAUGCAAGUCGAACGGAAAGGCCCUGCUGUUGUGGGGUGCUCGAGUGGCGAACGGGUGAGUAACACGUGAGUAACCUGCCCUUGACUUUGGGAUAACUUCAGGAAACAGGGGCUAAUACCGGAUACGAGCUCCUGCUGCAUCGUGUGGGAUGGAAAGUUUCGGCGGUUGGGGAUGGACUCGCGGCGUGUCAGCUUGUUGGUGGGGUAGUGGCUUACCAAGGCUUUGACGGGUAGCCGGCCUGAGAGGGUGACCGGCAACAUUGGGACUGAGAUACGGCCCAGACUCCUACGGGAGGCAGCAGUGGGGAAUAUUGCACAAUGGGCGGAAGCCUGAUGCAGCAACGCCGCGUGCGGGAUGACGGCCUUCGGGUUGUAAACCGCUUUCGCCUGUGACGAAGCGUGAGUGACGGUAAUGGGUAAAGAAGCACCGGCUAACUACGUG
This 468-nucleotide ribosomal RNA is filed under the name uncultured bacterium. RNAcentral's name for it is "partial 16S ribosomal RNA". It matches the Rfam family "Bacterial small subunit ribosomal RNA", at positions 28 to 507 of the family's 1533-position model. The record is from RNAcentral.